AGUAGUUUAGACUCGUCGGCUACAGGAUAGACGCUGGCGGCGUGCCUAAUACAUGCAAGUCGAACGCGGGCACUUGUGCCCGAGUGGCGAACGGGUGAGUAAUACAUAAGUAACCUGGCCUUUACAGGGGGAUAACUGCUGGAAACGGCAGCUAAGACCGCAUAGGUAGGGACACUGCAUGGUGACCGUAUUAAAAGUGCUGCAAGGCACUGGUAGAGGAUGGACUUAUGGCGCAUUAGCUGGUUGGUGAGGUAACGGCUCACCAAGGCGACGAUGCGUAGCCGACCUGAGAGGGUGACCGGCCACACUGGGACUGAGACACGGCCCAGACUCCUACGGGAGGCAGCAGUAGGGAAUUUUCGGCAAUGGGGGGAACCCUGACCGAGCAACGCCGCGUGAAGGAAGAAGGAAUUCGUUCUGUAAACUUCUGUUAUAAAGGAAGAAAGGCGGAUGGAGGAAAUGACAUCCGAGUGACGGUACUUUAUGAGAAAGCCACGGCUAACUACGUA
RNAcentral lists this ribosomal RNA (509 nucleotides) under uncultured Coprobacillus sp. RNAcentral describes it as "bacterial SSU rRNA". It matches the Rfam family "Bacterial small subunit ribosomal RNA", at positions 1 to 507 of the family's 1533-position model. Lineage: Bacteria; Bacillati; Bacillota; Erysipelotrichia; Erysipelotrichales; Coprobacillaceae. The record is from RNAcentral.